This 446-nucleotide ribosomal RNA is filed under the name uncultured bacterium. Its description in RNAcentral is "partial 16S ribosomal RNA". It matches the Rfam family "Bacterial small subunit ribosomal RNA", at positions 338 to 795 of the family's 1533-position model. The record is from RNAcentral.
CCUACGGGGGGCUGCAGUCGAGAAUCAUUCACAAUGGGGGAAACCCUGAUGGUGCGACGCCGCGUGGGGGAAUGAAGGUCUUCGGAUUGUAAACCCCUGUCAUGUGGGAGCAAAUUAAAAAGAUAGUACCACACGAGGAAGAGACGGCUAACUCUGUGCCAGCAGCCGCGGUAAUACAGAGGUCGCAAGCGUUGUUCGGAAUCACUGGGCGUAAAGCGUGCGUAGGCUGUUUCGUAAGUCGUGUGUGAAAGGCGCGGGCUCAACCCGCGGACGGCACAUGAUACUGCGAGGCUAGAGUAAUGGAGGGGGAACCGGAAUUCUCGGUGUAGCAGUGAAAUGCGUAGAUAUCGAGAAGAACACUCGUGGCGAAGGCGGGUUCCUGGACAUUAACUGACGCUGAGGCACGAAGGCCAGGGGAGCGAAAGGGAUUAGAUACCCUAGUAGUC